This 219-nucleotide ribosomal RNA is filed under the name uncultured bacterium. RNAcentral describes it as "partial 16S ribosomal RNA". It matches the Rfam family "Bacterial small subunit ribosomal RNA", at positions 289 to 525 of the family's 1533-position model. The record is from RNAcentral.
GGUCUGAGAGGAUGAUCAGUCACAUUGGGACUGAGACACGGCCCAAACUCCUACGGGAGGCAGCAGUGGGGAAUAUUGGACAAUGGGCGCAAGCCUGAUCCAGCCAUGCCGCGUGAGUGAUGAAGGCCUUAGGGUUGUAAAGCUCUUUCACCGGUGAAGAUAAUGACGGUAACCGGAGAAGAAGCCCCGGCUAACUUCGUGCCAGCAGCCGCGGUAAUA